Molecule: ribosomal RNA, 505 nt
Filed under: Orthetrum melania
Lineage: Eukaryota; Metazoa; Arthropoda; Insecta; Odonata; Libellulidae
Description: partial 16S rRNA
Rfam family: Bacterial large subunit ribosomal RNA
Source: RNAcentral
GGCCUUUUGAAUUUAAUAUAAGGUCUGACCUGCCCAGUGAUAGUUUUAACGGCCGCGGUAUACUGACCGUGCAAAGGUAGCAUAAUCAUUAGUCUUUUAAUAGAGGGCUGGAAUGAAAGGUUUCACGAGGAACUGGCUGUCUCAUUUUAUUUGUUUUAAAAUUUAAUUUUUUAGUUAAAAAGCUAAAAUUUUAUUGGUAGACGAGAAGACCCUAUAGAGCUUUACAUAUAACUAAAUGAAUAUUUUUAUAUUAAUAUUUUUAUUUAUUUUUGUGUUUUGUUGGGGUGACAAAAAUAUAUAACUAACUUUUUUAUUUACUUUACAUUGAUUUAUGAAUAUUAGAUCCAAUAUUAUUGAUUAUUAGACUAAGUUACCUUAGGGAUAACAGCGUAAUCCUCCUCCAGAGUUCAUAUUUACAGGAUGGGCUUGCGACCUCGAUGUUGGAUUAAGAUGAUAAUUAGGUGUAGCCGCUUAAUUGAUAGGUCUGUUCGACCUUUAAAUUCUU